This 463-nucleotide ribosomal RNA is filed under the name uncultured bacterium. RNAcentral describes it as "partial 16S ribosomal RNA". It matches the Rfam family "Bacterial small subunit ribosomal RNA", at positions 28 to 507 of the family's 1533-position model. The record is from RNAcentral.
GGCGAACGCUGGCGGCGUGCUUAACACAUGCAAGUCGAACGGAAAGGCCUUUUCGGAGGUACUCGAGUGGCGCACGGGUGAGUAACACGUGGGUGAUCUGCCCUGCACUCUGGGAUAAGCCUGGGAAACUGGGUCUAAUACCGGAUAGGACCGCACUUUAGUGUGUGUGGUGGAAAGUUUUUUCGGUGUAGGAUGAGCCCGCGGCCUAUCAGCUUGUUGGUGGGGUAAUGGCCUACCAAGGCGGCGACGGGUAGCCGGACUGAGAGGUUGGUCGGCCACAUUGGGACUGAGAUACGGCCCAGACUCCUACGGGAGGCAGCAGUGGGGAAUAUUGCACAAUGGGCGCAAGCCUGAUGCAGCGACGCCGCGUGGGGGAUGACGGCCUUCGGGUUGUAAACUCCUUUCGCCAGGGACGAAGCGUUUUGUGACGGUACCUGGAGAAGAAGCACCGGCUAACUACGUG